UCCAAAUGUUGAGUUAAGGCGGAUUUAUGCUUCUGCGGGGGGCUCUACACAGAGCUCUCGCCGUAGCCUGCGUAAGUGGCCUGAUGUUUAUACUUGUGCACUGGUGUCUGCGUUGUUCUAGCUGUGUGUGUGUGUGUGUG
This is a long non-coding RNA of Sander lucioperca (pikeperch), 140 nucleotides long. RefSeq lists it as uncharacterized. The record is from RefSeq and is a predicted model, not a curated record. NCBI's taxonomy places the organism in Eukaryota, Metazoa, Chordata, Actinopteri, Perciformes, Percidae. The transcript is spliced from 3 exons.